This 1524-nucleotide ribosomal RNA is filed under the name Triticum aestivum (bread wheat). Its description in RNAcentral is "partial small subunit ribosomal RNA". The record is from RNAcentral. Lineage: Eukaryota; Viridiplantae; Streptophyta; Magnoliopsida; Poales; Poaceae.
AUGACUGGAUACUGCAAUGCAGUGAGGAAGCUGGAAAAGAAGUUUCAGGGGUUAGAGCUCCAUCAUAUACCCCGACUAAAAAAUCAAGCAGCUGAUGAUCUAGCAAAGAUAGGUUCCAAGAGAGAAGCCGUUCCGAGUGGUGUGUUCCUGGAGCACAUUCAUACUCCGUCAGUUAAGGAAGACCCUUUCACUGAAGAAACCCCGCAGCCCAAGAGUGCCUCGGAUCCGACUGAGGUAGAAGUCCCAGCAGUGGUCGACUUGGUUAUGGAGAUCUUGGUAGUCACACCUGACUGGACAAUUCCAUAUAUCGCAUAUAUCCUGAGAAAAGAGCUCCCAGAGGAUGAGGAAGAGGCUCGACAGAUCAUCCGUCGAUCCAAGGCCUUUACCGUUAUCAGAGGACAGUUGUAUAGAGAGAGCGCGACAGGAGUUGGUCAAAAGUGCAUAACGCCAGACGAAGGUCGAAUCAUUCUCAAUGAUAUCGACUCGGGGACCUGUGGUCAUCAUGCGUCCUCUCGGACCAUCGUGGCCAAAGCAUACCGAGCCGGAUUUUACUGGCCAAAGGCGAAUGAGAUGGCAAAAGAAAUAGUGGACAAGUGCGAAGGAUGUCAGUUCUACUCCAAUAUGUCACACAAACCUGCUUCAGCUCUGAAGACCAUUCCACCCGUCUGGCCUUUCGCAGUAUGGGGGUUGGAUAUGGUCGGUCCCUUGAGAACAGGUCGUAGUGGCUUCACACAUGUGCUGGUGGCGGUCGACAAGUUCACCAAGUGGAUUGAAGCUAAACCAAUCAAGAACCUUGACGCCGGUACUGCUGUUAGCUUCAUCAGGGAACUGAUAUUCAGAUAUGGAGUCCCGCACAGCAUCAUUACGGAUAAUGGGUCGAACUUUGACUCGGAGGAAUUCAGGGAUUUCUGCAAUUCUCAAGGCACACGAGUCGACUACGCUUCACUCUCCCAUCCGCAGUCGAAUGGACAAGCAGAGCGAGCCAAUGGCCUGAUCCUCAAAGGAUUGAAACCCCGACUGAUGCGUGAUCUCAAGCAUGCGGCUGGAGCGUGGGUCAACGAACUUCCUUCGGUGCUUUGGGGACUAUGGACCACACCUAAUCGGUCGACCGGAAGAACUCCAUUCUUCUUGGUCUACGGAGCUGAAGCAGUCUUGCCGAGUGAUCUUCUCCACAAUGCUCCUCGAGUUGAACUCUACAACGAAGCAGAAGCUGAACAAGCGCGGCAGGAUGCAGUCGACCUUUUAGAGGAAGAAAGGGAGAUGGCUCUGAUCCGAUCGACCAUCUACCAACAAGACUUGCGUCGUUUCCACGCCAGAAAUGUGAGGGGUCGAGCCUUCCAGGAAGGAGAUUUAGUUCUCCGAGUGGAUCAGCAGAAGCAACACAAGCUCGCUCCUUCUUGGGAAGGACCCUUCAUCGUCACCAAAGUUCUCCACAACGGGGCGUACCAUCUUUACAACGUCGAACAUAAUAUCGACGAGCCCCGAGCUUGGAACGCGGAACUACUUCGCCCAUUUUACACUUAA